UACAGAGGGUGCGAGCGUUAAUCGGAAUUACUGGGCGUAAAGCGUGCGUAGACGGCUAUCUAAGUCGGGUGUGAAAGCCCCGGGCUCAACCUGGGAAUUGCAUUCGAGACUGAAUAGCUAGGGUACGGUAGAGGGAAGCGGAAUUUCCGGUGUAGCGGUGAAAUGCGUAGAUAUCGGAAGGAACAUCAGUGGCGAAAGCGGCUGCCUGGACCAGUACCGACGUUCAGGCACGAAAGCGUGGGGAGCAAACAGG
RNAcentral lists this ribosomal RNA (253 nucleotides) under uncultured bacterium. RNAcentral describes it as "partial 16S ribosomal RNA". It matches the Rfam family "Bacterial small subunit ribosomal RNA", at positions 524 to 776 of the family's 1533-position model. The record is from RNAcentral.